RNAcentral lists this ribosomal RNA (468 nucleotides) under uncultured bacterium. Its description in RNAcentral is "partial 16S ribosomal RNA". It matches the Rfam family "Bacterial small subunit ribosomal RNA", at positions 28 to 507 of the family's 1533-position model. The record is from RNAcentral.
GAUGAACGCUGGCGGCGUGCUUAACACAUGCGAGUCGAACGGAAAGGCCCUGCUUUUGUGGGGUGCUCGAGUGGCGAACGGGUGAGUAAAACGUGUGUAACCUGCCCUUGACUUUGGGAUAACUUCAGGAAAAUGGGGCUAAUACCGGAUAGGAGCUCCUGCUGCAUGGUGGGGGUUGGAAAGUUUCGGCGGUUGGGGAUGGACUCGCGGCUUAUCAGCUUGAUGGUGGGGUAGUGGCUUACCAAGGCUUUGACGGGUAGCCGGCCUGGGAGGGCGACCGGCCACAUGGGGACUGAGGGACGGCCCAGUCUGCUACGGGAGGCAGCAGUGGGAAAUAUUGCACAAUGGGCGGAAGCCUGAGGCAGCAGCGCCGCGUGCGGGAUGACGGCCUUCGGGUUGUAAACCGCUUUCGCCUGUGACGAAGCGUGAGUGACGGUAAUGGGUAAAGAAGCACCGGCUAACUACGUG